GACGUAGGGGGCGAGCGUUGUCCGGAUUUAUUGGGCGUAAAGAGCGCGUAGGCGGCCCGUUAAGUCGGAUGUGAAAACCCGUGGCUCAACCACGGGCCUGCAUCCGAUACUGGCGGGCUCGAGGCAGGCAGGGGAGAUCGGAAUUCCUGGUGUAGCGGUGAAAUGCGCAGAUAUCAGGAGGAACACCGGUGGCGAAGGCGGAUCUCUGGGCCUGUCCUGACGCUCAGGCGCGAAAGCUAGGGGAGCAAACAGG
Molecule: ribosomal RNA, 253 nt
Filed under: uncultured bacterium
Lineage: Bacteria
Also listed under: 1 other name
Description: partial 16S ribosomal RNA
Rfam family: Bacterial small subunit ribosomal RNA
Source: RNAcentral